UACGGAAGGCAGCAGUGGGGAAUAUUGCACAAUGGGCGCAAGCCUGAUGCAGCCAUGCCGCGUGUAUGAAGAAGGCCUUCGGGUUGUAAAGUACUUUCAGUCGUGAGGAAGGUGUUAAGGUUAAUAACCUUAGCAAUUGACGUUAGCGACAGAAGAAGCACCGGCUAACUCCGUGCCAGCAGCCGCGGUAAUACGGAGGGUGCGAGCGUUAAUCGGAAUUACUGGGCGUAAAGGGCACGCAGGCGGUUAAUUAAGUUGGAUGUGAAAUCCCCGGGCUUAACCUGGGAAUGGCAUUCAAGACUGGUUAGCUAGAGCCUUGUAGAGGGGGUAGAAUUCCAUGUGUAGCGGUGAAAUGCGUAGAGAUGUGGAGGAAUACCGGUGGCGAAGGCGGCCCCUGGGACAAAGACUGACGCUCAUGUGCGAAAGCGUGGGGAGCAAACAGGAUUAGAUACC
Molecule: ribosomal RNA, 453 nt
Filed under: uncultured bacterium
Lineage: Bacteria
Description: bacterial SSU rRNA
Rfam family: Bacterial small subunit ribosomal RNA
Source: RNAcentral